RNAcentral lists this transfer RNA (70 nucleotides) under Streptococcus pneumoniae. RNAcentral describes it as "tRNA-Asp". It matches the Rfam family "tRNA". Rfam says of the family: Transfer RNA (tRNA) molecules are approximately 80 nucleotides in length. The record is from RNAcentral. Lineage: Bacteria; Bacillati; Bacillota; Bacilli; Lactobacillales; Streptococcaceae.
GUCCCGUAGUGUAGCGGUUAUCACGUCGCCCUGUCACGGCGAAGAUCGCGGGUUCGAUUCCCGUCGGGAC